Molecule: ribosomal RNA, 263 nt
Filed under: uncultured bacterium
Lineage: Bacteria
Description: partial 16S ribosomal RNA
Rfam family: Bacterial small subunit ribosomal RNA
Source: RNAcentral
GCAAGUCGAGCGAGAAGGUAAAGUCUUGUUCACGGAAGAAGACGUAACUGGAAGGCGGCGGACGGGUGAGUAACGCGUGUGUAACGUGCCCCAUACACAGGGAUAGCCAUUGGAAACGAUGAUUAAUACCUGAUAACACAUAUCUACUGCAUAUGAAAAAUGUCAAAGAGUUUUCGGUAUGGAUGGAUUCGCGUCUGAUUAGCUAGUUGGUAAGGUAAUGGCUUACCAAGGCGACGAUAAGUAGCCGACCUGAAAGGGUGAUC